GCAAUAGUGGCUCAGAUGGUAAAGCUUAGGACUCGUAAUCCAAUGGUCGCGAGUUCGAUACGCGUCCAGACCA
Non-coding RNA from Potamilus streckersoni, 73 nucleotides. Lineage: Eukaryota; Metazoa; Mollusca; Bivalvia; Unionida; Unionidae. The record is from the annotation of a GenBank genome assembly.